UACGGAGGGUGCGAGCGUUAAUCGGAAUUACUGGGCGUAAAGGGCGCGUAGGCGGUUAUGUAAGUGAGAUGUGAAAUCCCUGGGCUUAACCUAGGACCUGCAUCUCAUACUGUAUAGCUAGAGUAUUGUAGAGGGUAGUGGAAUUUCCGGUGUAGCGGUGAAAUGCGUAGAGAUCGGAAGGAACACCAGUGGCGAAGGCGGCUACCUGACAGAUACUGACGCUGAGCCGCGAGAGCGUGGGGAGCAAACAGG
This 252-nucleotide ribosomal RNA is filed under the name uncultured bacterium. Its description in RNAcentral is "partial 16S ribosomal RNA". It matches the Rfam family "Bacterial small subunit ribosomal RNA", at positions 524 to 776 of the family's 1533-position model. The record is from RNAcentral.